RNAcentral lists this ribosomal RNA (484 nucleotides) under uncultured bacterium. RNAcentral describes it as "partial 16S ribosomal RNA". It matches the Rfam family "Bacterial small subunit ribosomal RNA", at positions 30 to 507 of the family's 1533-position model. The record is from RNAcentral.
AUUGAACGCUGGCGGAAUGCUUUACACAUGCAAGUCGAACGGCAGCACGGGGGCAGCCCUGGUGGCGAGUGGCGAACGGGUGAGUAAUACAUCGGAACGUGCCCGGUCGUGGGGGAUAACUUAGCGAAAGUUACGCUAAUACCGCAUACGAUCUGAGGAUGAAAGCGGGGGACCUUCGGGCCUCGCGCGAUCGGAGCGGCCGAUGUCAGAUUAGGUAGUUGGUGGGGUAAAGGCCUACCAAGCCGACGAUCUGUAGCUGGUCUGAGAGGACGACCAGCCACACUGGGACUGAGACACGGCCCAGACUCCUACGGGAGGCAGCAGUGGGGAAUUUUGGACAAUGGGCGCAAGCCUGAUCCAGCCAUUCCGCGUGCAGGACGAAGGCCUUCGGGUUGUAAACUGCUUUUGUACGGAACGAAAAGGCUCUGGCUAAUACCUGGGGCUCAUGACGGUACCGUAAGAAUAAGCACCGGCUAACUACGUG